AAUAUUAUUUAUCACAAAUAGUCGACCUUCUUUUCUUUUAACAUACUUUUAGUAAGCGAAGAGGCUUGAGGUCGGCAAAACCGGUCUAGUACUUCGAAAGAAUCAAUUUAGUUUUGUUACGGCACAAUGUCUCAUUCGAUAUUUUUUUCUAUUGUAAUUAUUUAUUAUUCUUUUCCAAUAACUGUAAAUGCAAGUGAAGUGUUAAGUGCUAAGGUAAACACCACAAUUAUUUCUUCAACAGUUCCUCCCAAUAUUAAUAUUCAAAAAACGUUAUUGCCUAUUAAGAUGUUUUUGCCAAUAGAAACAUCAAACAGGUUUCCACCAGCAUUAGAAUACUUUGUACAAAAAAUUCAAGCUUCUCAGUCGAACUAUAUUUACGAAGAUCUGAGCCGACCACCAACCCACGAUCGCCCUUCGUACACCCUUUCACCUGAAGACCAAAUUACUUUUGGUUUAGGUGAAAAUUCUACAAUACUACCUACUACCGCAGAGAAUUUAUUUUAUACUAUAAAAAAUGAAGAAAAUGAUGUGCAAAUGCAAGAAAAAUCAAACCAAACAUUAGAUUUUGAAUAUGAGGACGUAAGCAGUACUGGUGAAAUUUUAUUCGAAGCUAUCAUAAAUGAAACACAAAAAACAAGCUUAAAUAAUGAAACGAGAAAUACGACAUCUACUGCUAAGGAGAAAGAUUCUAUAAUAAAUUUAUCUCAUCUCAGUGAUAAAAAUAAUAAAGAAUAUAUUGAAUCUACAUAUAGUGUACCCUAUAUGGUAUAUAAUGAAAACCAAAAAUCUUCAAACAAGGAACAUGCGACAUAUUCGACCACUGAUAAAUAUAUUACAAGUAAUAAUCAGUAUUUCGCGUUGAAUAAAGUGACUACUUUAAAAUCGUCUACGGAUGUUAAUCAACAACUGUAAACUGUUUUAGCUUUUACUGGAUUGUCAAGAGGCUAUCCACAUCUGCACAUGCAAAUUAAGGGGUUAUUCAACCGUCCAGUUCAGCCAACAUCGUGCCCAUCUAUUUUCAGUCAGUACCCACAGACCAACAGGCAAUUCCUCAAAUAAGGGGUCCUUUCGAUUUUAUUGGUCAAUGGAUUCAGCAAACACCUUGGCUUCCAAUCCAAAUCAACGUGCCCGAUAUAUUUCAGAAUAUCGGAAACGGAAUAAAUCAAGUUGGCACGACGGUAUCUCAGUUUUCUCAAAAUGUUGGAAACGGGGUAUCGCAAUUUUCUCAGAAUGUCGGUAAUGGCUUAAGUCAGUUCUCACAAAAUAUAGGUAACGGCUUCACGACUUGGGCUCAAAACGUGCCGAUUUUAGAAAAUUUUAUUGACACUAAGAGAAAACCGGUAAUGACAACCAAUGGACAACAAAUAGGUGUACUGGUACCGAUAGAAUAUCCAGGUGGACAACAAUUGGUCUUGGCUAACGAGGCUUUUGAAGCUUUUCCAUAGUUGUUUGAAUUGUUUAGAAAAUAAAGUCUGAUUAUAUUAUUUUUUUAUUAUGGCGCGCUCAGACGAUUCGUGUAGGUACUUGACAAACAUUUGUAUAAAAAAAAUUGGUAUACAGGGUAUAUAGUGUGCAUAGGGCAUCUAUACCUGGAAUUUCUAAGACAUUUAUUAUAGUACCUACGCCGCACUCUCGCCGGACCCUGUAUGCCAAUAAAAAAUACUUGCCAAGUACACGAGUCGUCAGAAGGUUCAUUCUCACAGCAUCAGAAAACUGCCUAGAAUAGUUAACCGAAUUAAUAAUCUAUGUUUUUUGUUUACGACAUAUCUGUGACUUGGUGUAAUCAACUACAUUUGACAAGUUUCUGAGACUGGUUUGGAUGCUUGUGCGAACAAAUCUAGGGUCCGCCUUUGCAGAUACGGAGAUAUUUAUUUAAUAUUUAUUUAUUCUAUUUAUAUUUAAACUGUGUUUUUAAAAUUAAUAA
This is an RNA transcript of Sitophilus oryzae (rice weevil), 1924 nucleotides long. RefSeq lists it as uncharacterized. The record is from RefSeq and is a predicted model, not a curated record. Lineage: Eukaryota; Metazoa; Arthropoda; Insecta; Coleoptera; Curculionidae. The transcript is spliced from 2 exons.